ACAAAAACCCCAAUGUGAACGUUACCAAACUGUUGCCUCGGCGGGAUCUCUGCCCCGGGUGCGUCGCAGCCCCGGACCAAGGCGCCCGCCGGAGGACCAACCAAAACUCUUAUUGUAUACCCCCUCGCGGGUUUUUUACUAUCUGAGCCAUCUCGGCGCCCCUCGUGGGCGUUUCGAAAAUGAAUCAAAACUUUCAACAACGGAUCUCUUGGUUCUGGCAUCGAUGAAGAACGCAGCGAAAUGCGAUAAGUAAUGUGAAUUGCAGAAUUCAGUGAAUCAUCGAAUCUUUGAACGCACAUUGCGCCCGCCAGUAUUCUGGCGGGCAUGCCUGUCCGAGCGUCAUUUCAACCCUCGAACCCCUCCGGGGGGUCGGCGUUGGGGAUCGGCCCUUUACGGGGCCGGCCCCGAAAUACAGUGGCGGUCUCGCCGCAGCCUCUCCUGCGCAGUAGUUUGCACACUCGCAUCGGGAGCGCGGCGCGUCCACAGCCGUUAAACACCCCAAACUUCUGAAAUGUUGACCUCGGAUCAGGUAGGAAUACCCGCUGAACUUAAGCAUAUCAAUAGCGGGAGGGAAA
This 575-nucleotide ribosomal RNA is filed under the name Trichoderma virens. RNAcentral's name for it is "eukaryotic LSU rRNA". The stretch from base 189 to 342 matches the Rfam family "5.8S ribosomal RNA". The record is from RNAcentral. Lineage: Eukaryota; Fungi; Ascomycota; Sordariomycetes; Hypocreales; Hypocreaceae.